This 43-nucleotide ribosomal RNA is filed under the name Fusarium sp. Its description in RNAcentral is "partial 28S ribosomal RNA". The record is from RNAcentral. Lineage: Eukaryota; Fungi; Ascomycota; Sordariomycetes; Hypocreales; Nectriaceae.
GACCUCGGAUCAGGUAGGAAUACCCGCUGAACUUAAGCAUANA